AGGACGAACGCUGGCGGCGCGCCUAACACAUGCAAGUCGAGCGAUAACCAGGGGCUUGCCCUUGGGGACAGCGGCGAACGGGUGCGUAACACGUGAGCAACCUGCCCCGAAGACCGGGACAACCCGAGGAAACUCGGACUAAUACCGGAUGUCCUCACCGGAUCGCAUGGUCUGGUGAGGAAAUGGAUUCCGCUUCGGGAUGGGCUCGCGGUCUAUCAGCUUGUUGGUGGGGUAACGGCCUACCAAGGCGACGACGGAUAGCUGGUCUGAGAGGACGAUCAGCCACACUGGGACUGAGACACGGCCCAGACUCCUACGGGAGGCAGCAGUGGGGAAUAUUGGACAAUGGGCGCAAGCCUGAUCCAGCCAUGCCGCGUGGAUGAUGAAGGCCUUAGGGUUGUAAAGUCCUUUUAACGGGAAGAUAAUGACGGUACCCGUAGAAUAAGCCCGGCUAACUUCGUGCCAGCAGCCGC
This 473-nucleotide ribosomal RNA is filed under the name uncultured bacterium. RNAcentral's name for it is "SSU rRNA". It matches the Rfam family "Bacterial small subunit ribosomal RNA", at positions 26 to 518 of the family's 1533-position model. The record is from RNAcentral.